Molecule: ribosomal RNA, 428 nt
Filed under: Bacteroidota bacterium
Lineage: Bacteria; Pseudomonadati; Bacteroidota
Description: Bacteroidetes bacterium partial 16S ribosomal RNA
Rfam family: Bacterial small subunit ribosomal RNA
Source: RNAcentral
UAGGGAAUCUUCCGCAAUGGACGCAAGUCUGACGGAGCAACGCCGCGUGAGUGAAGAAGGAUUUCGGUUCGUAAAACUCUGUUGUUAGAGAAGAACAGCGCAUAGAGUAACUGUUAUGCGUGUGACGGUAUCUAACCAGAAAGCCACGGCUAACUACGUGCCAGCAGCCGCGGUAAUACGUAGGUCCCGAGCGUUGUCCGGAUUUAUUGGGCGUAAAGCGAGCGCAGGCGGUUAGAAAAGUCUGAAGUGAAAGGCUGUGGCUCAACCAUUGUAGGCUUUGGAAGCUGUUUAACUUGAGUGCAGAGGGGGAGAGUGGAAUUCCAUGUGUGGCGGUGGAAUGCGUAGAUAUAUGGAGGAACACCGGUGGCGAAAGCGGCUCUCUGGUCUGUAACUGACGCGGAGGCUCGAAAGCGUGGGGAGCGAACAGG